Molecule: non-coding RNA, 78 nt
Organism: Schistosoma margrebowiei
Lineage: Eukaryota; Metazoa; Platyhelminthes; Trematoda; Strigeidida; Schistosomatidae
Source: Rfam
AGCCUCCUGUGUCCGUGAUGAGAUUUCGUCACGCACCAGACCACAAAAUCUGAUGAGACUCCCGAAAUAAGUGAAGCG